Molecule: ribosomal RNA, 253 nt
Filed under: uncultured bacterium
Lineage: Bacteria
Description: partial 16S ribosomal RNA
Rfam family: Bacterial small subunit ribosomal RNA
Source: RNAcentral
UACGGGGGGGGCAAGCGUUGUUCGGAAUUACUGGGCGUAAAGGGCUCGUAGGCGGCCAACUAAGUCGGAUGUGAAAUCCCCAGGCUUAACCUGGGAACUGCAUCCGAUACUGGAUGGCUUGAAUCCGGGAGAGGGAUGCAGAAUUCCAGGUGUAGCGGUGAAAUGCGUAGAUAUCUGGAGGAAUACCGGUGGCGAAGGCGGAUCUCUGGGCCAUUACUGACGCUGAGGAGCGAAAGCGUGGGGAGCGAACAGG